AAAGAAAUUUACAAAAAAAAUAAAUACAAAAUACAUUUCUACUUGGUUGUAACAUGCACAUUUCUUUUUAUAAGAAUUCAGUAAGCAUGCUAAACAAAGAAAAAAAAAGAAAAGAAAUUCAACAAAAAGAAACCACAUCUAAGUCAGAGGCCUUUAUAUACAAAGACGUUUAGCUGUUAAAGUCUAUGAUUCUUGUACAUUUAUUCACAGACCAUGACAUUUUUCUAGGUCUAAACUGGGCAUUGUGUACACAGUCUGCAUUUAUGCUGAGACAUUAGAAGACAGAAGAUGAGUAAAGGCAAUACAUCUGCUUUACUGUACUGUAGUUUAUGGGAAAUUCUGGAAGUGGAUCUUUAUAUUUGACUAUUCGUUCCUGUAACCAAUAACAGAUCAGAGUUGUGAUUUUCAGGCCCAAAACUGAGGCAAUUUCAUAGAACACAAGAAAUUUUUAUUGUAGAUUUUCUCCCUCUGGUCAUUUACCAACGCCCCGCACUAGCUAGCUUUUCUCCAUCACACAACAGCUACCAACCCUGAACGGUAAAGGCUACCAUGUGCUUCCACCAAGACACGUUAAGCCACUGUACCUUUCCAGCUGCUGCUCAUGCAACUGUGCAUCACAGGGCAGCUGAGCAGUUCUUAUACACACAGGAGCUAAAAGAUUCACAUGAUUGGUCAGUGUCACUCUGUCAGGGGAGGGGGUAACACCAUACCUCCCACUUAGACAGCACAGGUAUCUGGGCUCUGCUAAACUUAAUCUGAUUUGUUGGUUUUGAGAGUUAGGCUCUGGUAAAUUAAAUCUGAUUGGUUGGUGUUGGGGUCUACACUCUGGCAGACUGAACAUGAUUGGUGUUGGAGUUUAGGGUCUGAUAGACUGAAUCUGAUAAGUUGGUGUUGGAGUUUAGACUCUGGUACACUGAAUCUGAUUGGUUGGUGUUAGAAUCUAGAUUCUGGUAGACUGAAUCUGAUUGGUUGGUGUUUGGGUCUAAACUCUGGUAGACUGAAUCUGAUUGGUUGGUGUUGGGAUUUAGGCUUUGGUAAACUGAAUCUGAUUGGUUGGUGUUGGGAUUUAGGCUUUGGUAGUCUGAAUCUGAUUGGUUGGUGUUGGGAUUUAGGCUUUGGUAGUCUGAAUCUGAUUGGUUGGUGUUGGGAUUUAGGCUUUGGUAGACCGGAUGCAUUAUGGUGUUCUGAAUCUGAGGUGGAUCAUUUUCAUAAUCAGCAGUCUGAAAUAAAUAGAGAUAAACAGAUCAUAGAAAAAAAUCAUCCCAACAUCAAAAUUAAGACAGAAGAUUUUGAAGCAAAACCAUUGGACACACAUCUAAUAAUGGAUUAAUG
Long non-coding RNA from Ictalurus punctatus (channel catfish), 1332 nucleotides. NCBI's taxonomy places the organism in Eukaryota, Metazoa, Chordata, Actinopteri, Siluriformes, Ictaluridae. The record is from Ensembl.